Molecule: ribosomal RNA, 425 nt
Filed under: uncultured bacterium
Lineage: Bacteria
Description: bacterial SSU rRNA
Rfam family: Bacterial small subunit ribosomal RNA
Source: RNAcentral
UGAGGAAUUUUGGACAAUGGGGGAAACCCUGAUCCAGCGACGCCGCGUGAAGGAUGAAGGUCUUCGGAUUGUAAACUUCUUUUGCCUGGGAAUAAGAACUCUGUAGAAAUGCGGAGAAUGAAUGUACCAGGCGAAUAAGCCACGGCUAACUUCGUGCCAGCAGCCGCGGUAAUACGAAGGUGGCAAGCGUUACUCGGAAUUACUAGGCGUAAAGGGCAGGUAGGUGGUUUGGUUAGUCUGUUGUGAAAGCUCCUUGCUUAACGGGGAGAGGCCAACAGAUACUGCCAGACUUGAGUAUAGGAGAGGGUACUGGAAUUCCCGGUGUAGCGGUGAAAUGCGCAGAGAUCGGGAGGAACACCAAUGGCGAAAGCAGGUACCUGGACUAUUACUGACACUCAGCUGCGAAAGCUAGGGGAGCAAACAGG